This 464-nucleotide ribosomal RNA is filed under the name uncultured bacterium. Its description in RNAcentral is "partial 16S ribosomal RNA". It matches the Rfam family "Bacterial small subunit ribosomal RNA", at positions 338 to 795 of the family's 1533-position model. The record is from RNAcentral.
CCUACGAGGGUCAGCAGUAGGUAAUCUUCCACACUGGGCGAAAGCCUGAUGGAGCAACGCCGCGUGGGUGAAGAAGGUCUUCGGAUCGUAAAACCCUGUUGUUAGAGAAGAAAGUGCGUGAGAGUAACUGUUCACGUUUCGACGGUAUCUAACCAGAAAGCCACGGCUAACUACGUGCCAGCAGCCGCGGUAAUACGGAGGUGGCAAGUGUUAUCCGGAUUUAUUGGGCGAAAGGGAACUCAGGCGGUCUUAUAAGUCUGAUGUGAAAGCCUUCGGCUUAACAGGAGUAGUGCAUUGGAAACUGGGAGACUUGAGUGCAGAAGAGGAGAGUGGAACUCCAUGUGUAGCGGUGAAAUGCGUAGAUAGAUGGAAGAACACCAGUGGCGAAAGCGGCUCUCUGGUCUGUAACUGACGCUGAGGUUCGAAAGCGUGGGUAGCAAACAGGAUUAGAUACCCUUGUAGUC